This is a long non-coding RNA of Medicago truncatula (barrel medic), 563 nucleotides long. RefSeq lists it as uncharacterized. The record is from RefSeq and is a predicted model, not a curated record. Lineage: Eukaryota; Viridiplantae; Streptophyta; Magnoliopsida; Fabales; Fabaceae. The transcript has 2 exons.
CAAAGCAUGGAUUUUUCACAUUAUAAAGUGCUCAAAUAAUUUUAUUUUUACAUUCAAAGGAAAUAAAAUAUGUUUAAGGUUUUAAAUAUUGUUUAUGCUAUGAUCAUUUUUCUUUCCAUAUCUUUUUCUAUAACAAACUCUUUUAAGAUGUUCUGCCGUUAUGAUGAGGACUGUCCACCUAGAAUGUGUAGACUUCCUCAAGUUCCUCAAUGCAAUGAGUUUAUUUGUGACUGUGGGAUGCCUGUCUAUAAACCUUACCAAAACAAAUAUAUUAAAAAAUAAUACUAUGUUAUUUUUAUGUGUAUCUCUUUAAUAACAUGUAAAUGAUCGUGCAUUUAAGAUUCUUUACCACCCAUAUUUUUUUUUUUGUUUGUUAAAAGGGAUGAUUGUAAACUGCUUUCCCAUAUUUAUGGCAUAAGAGAGACGAACAAACUUUUCUCCUAUAUAUAGAGAUAUACAUAUAUACAUAUAUAAGGAGGAAUCAAAUAAUGCAUUGGUUUGUAAGUGUGUGGUUGGUUCUGCGGUGAGUGGAAUUGAUUUUGAUAGAAUUGAGUUUGAGUGAA